RNAcentral lists this ribosomal RNA (497 nucleotides) under uncultured bacterium. Its description in RNAcentral is "partial 16S ribosomal RNA". It matches the Rfam family "Bacterial small subunit ribosomal RNA", at positions 28 to 507 of the family's 1533-position model. The record is from RNAcentral.
GACGAACGCUGGCGGCGUGCCUAAUACAUGCAAGUAGAACGCUGAAGGGAGGAGCUUGCUCUUCUUGGAUGAGUUGCGAACGGGUGAGUAACGCGUAGGUAACCUGCCUUGUAGCGGGGGAUAACUAUUGGAAACGAUAGCUAAUACCGCAUAACAAUGGAUGACACAUGUCAUUUAUUUGAAAGGGGCAAUUGCUCCACUACAAGAUGGACCUGCGUUGUAUUAGCUAGUAGGUGAGGUAAUGGCUCACCUAGGCGACGAUACAUAGCCGACCUGAGAGGGUGAUCGGCCACACUGGGACUGAGACACGGCCCAGACUCCUACGGGAGGCAGCAGUAGGGAAUCUUCGGCAAUGGGGGCAACCCUGACCGAGCAACGCCGCGUGAGUGAAGAAGGGUUUCGGAUCGUAAAGCUCUGUUGUAAGUCAAGAACGGGUGUGAGAGUGGAAAGUUCACACUGUGACGGUAGCUUACCAGAAAGGGACGGCUAACUACGUG